GUAGGGAAUAUUGGACAAUGGGCGAAAGCCUGAUCCAGCAAUGCCGCGUGAGUGAUGAAGGCCUUAGGGUUGUAAAGCUCUUUUACCAGGGAUGAUAAUGACAGUACCUGGAGAAUAAGCUCCGGCUAACUCCGUGCCAGCAGCCGCGGUAAUACGGAGGGAGCUAGCGUUGUUCGGAAUUACUGGGCGUAAAGCGCACGUAGGCGGUUACUCAAGUCAGAGGUGAAAGCCCGGGGCUCAACCCCGGAACUGCCUUUGAAACUAGGUAACUAGAAUCUUGGAGAGGUCAGUGGAAUUCCGAGUGUAGAGGUGAAAUUCGUAGAUAUUCGGAAGAACACCAGUGGCGAAGGCGACUGACUGGACAAGUAUUGACGCUGAGGUGCGAAAGCGUGGGGAGCAAACAGGAUUAGAUACCCGAGUAGUCC
RNAcentral lists this ribosomal RNA (425 nucleotides) under uncultured bacterium. Its description in RNAcentral is "partial 16S ribosomal RNA". It matches the Rfam family "Bacterial small subunit ribosomal RNA", at positions 354 to 796 of the family's 1533-position model. The record is from RNAcentral.